UUUUAUGGAGAGUUUGAUCCUGGCUCAGGAUGAACGCUGGCGGCGUGCCUAAUACAUGCAAGUCGAGCGAACAGACGAGGAGCUUGCUCCUCUGACGUUAGCGGCGGACGGGUGAG
Molecule: ribosomal RNA, 116 nt
Filed under: Staphylococcus epidermidis
Lineage: Bacteria; Bacillati; Bacillota; Bacilli; Caryophanales; Staphylococcaceae
Also listed under: 1 other name
Description: partial 16S ribosomal RNA
Rfam family: Bacterial small subunit ribosomal RNA
Source: RNAcentral